This is an RNA transcript of Prunus mume (Japanese apricot), 1206 nucleotides long. It is a transcript of the gene named Peptidase S24/S26A/S26B/S26C family protein, with no coding region annotated. The record is from RefSeq and is a predicted model, not a curated record. Lineage: Eukaryota; Viridiplantae; Streptophyta; Magnoliopsida; Rosales; Rosaceae.
AUUCUCUGAAUAAAUUAAUAAAAUACGAAUCAACGGGCUAGAACAUGUGUUUUAACUGUAGAUGGGCCUAAUUCGGCCGCUAAUUUACAGUCUAACCCGACCCAUUGAUCGGCCCGUCAGUCGUGACCAUUGUUCUUCGGCCUCAUAGCCUAAGCCUCAUACACAAGCAAACUCCUUCAAGCUUUCCCAGUACAAAUUCAAAAUCUUCCAAACGCUUCCUCAAAUUCAUCGAAUCAUUCAUAAAUUUUCAACCUUUCAAGCUUCUUAGAGAGAGAGAGAGAGAGAGAGAGAGAGAGAGAGAGAUGAGGCUACUGAACUACUUGGGGCAAUGGAGAAGCGUAGCAAAGGAAGCGAAGGAUCUCACAGUAACUGUAGCGAAGUUCAUGGGUUUGCUCCACGUCACCGACGCCUACCUCUGCUCCUCCACUCUUGUCUACGGUCCUAGUAUGCUCCCUACCUUGAACAUUUCUGGCGAUGUGCUCCUGUCCGAACACGUGUCCCAUCGCUUUGGGAAGGUGGGUGCCGGAGAUUUGGUCCUGGUUCGGUCUCCGAAUGACCCUCGAAAGAUUGUGACCAAGCGUAUUUUGGGCAUGGAGGGUGAUCAAGUCACCUUCUUUGUCGAUCCCAAGCACAGUGACAGGUCUCGGACUACUGUGGUGCCUAAGGGGCAUGUUUGGAUUCAGGGGGAUAACAUCUAUUCCUCCUUUGAUUCUCGAACAUAUGGAGCUGUACCUUAUGGUCUUAUUCAAGGCAAAGUGUUUUGCAGGGUGUGGCCACCUGAUGGCUUUGGAUCAUUGGAUUGAUGAGCAUAAAGAGGAUUAUAACAUUAAGGUUCAAACUGCUUACUGGGGUAACAAACUCUUGAAGCUCUGCUGGAAUGUAUCAAGUCCAAAAGAAAAUUCUUUCUUGGUGUAUAAGAUGAUUGACGCAAGGUCUGAGAAGCUCAAAUUUGUAUAUAUCCCAAAUGGAAGUGCAUGCCAGAUAUGGUUGUAAGUGACAUGCCUAGAAGUCUCAUGUAUAAAUAGAAUGGCAGUUGCCAUAGUCAUUGAUAUUUUUUUUGACAAAAGAGGAUUGAUGGUUUAUCUUAUCUAACAUACGUGACAAAAGAGGCUAAAACUUGCCUAUCAAAAGAAAAUGAGUACUUGUACUAUGCAAUUUCAAUUUCAAUCGGAAUCUGACAUAGGAUAUUCUAUCUGUAUUCAAAUU